CGUGUCCAAAUGGCGCUCAGAUCCCACGAAUACAGCUGAAUUGCCACCGGGUAAAGUUUUGACCAACCGCACACAUGGAGUCUACAAUAAAGUUCCAUGAGAAAAGUAGCAGUCGGUCACUUUUGGGAGUCCCAAACCAAAGAAAAUGCUGAACUGUUCCCCUGGAUCAUAGGUAGCGAUUGCUCCUCAUGUUCGUAUUUACCUUUUCACCGAAUAGCGCUCUCCUGGCUUGUCAAGAAUAGAAGCAGGCGUUCGUAUAAAAUAACCGGU
Non-coding RNA from Pelobates cultripes (western spadefoot toad), 270 nucleotides. Lineage: Eukaryota; Metazoa; Chordata; Amphibia; Anura; Pelobatidae. The record is from the annotation of a GenBank genome assembly.